RNAcentral lists this ribosomal RNA (571 nucleotides) under uncultured archaeon. RNAcentral describes it as "bacterial SSU rRNA". It matches the Rfam family "Archaeal small subunit ribosomal RNA", at positions 322 to 893 of the family's 1478-position model. The record is from RNAcentral.
GAUUCGGGGCGCAGCAGGCGCGAAAACUUUACAAUGCUGGCAACAGCGAUAAGGGGACCUCGAGUGCCAGGAUACAAUCUUGGCUGUCGUAAUGCCUAAAAAGCAUUUCAUAGCAAGGGCCGGGCAAGACCGGUGCCAGCCGCCGCGGUAACACCGGCGGCUCGAGUGGUAACCGCUAUUAUUGGGUCUAAAGGGUCUGUAGCCGGCCGGAUAAGUCUCUUGGGAAAUCCAGCAGCUCAACUGUUGGGCUUUCAGGAGAUACUGUUCGGCUCGAGGCCGGGAGAGGUGAGAGGUACUUCAGGGGUAGGGGUGAAAUCUUGUAAUCCUUGAAGGACCACCAGUGGCGAAGGCGUCUCACCAGAACGGACCUGACGGCAAGGGACGAAAGCUAGGGGCACGAACCGGAUUAGAUACCCGGGUAGUCCUAGCCGUAAACGAUACUCGCUAGGUGUCAGCCACGGUGCGACCGUGGUCGGUGCCGUAGGGAAGCCGUGAAGCGAGCCACCUGGGAAGUACGGCCGCAAGGCUGAAACUUAAAGGAAUUGGCGGGGGAGCACAAUCACUAGUGAAU